This 337-nucleotide unclassified non-coding RNA is filed under the name soil metagenome. RNAcentral's name for it is "partial contains 5.8S ribosomal RNA, internal transcribed spacer 2, and large subunit ribosomal RNA". The stretch from base 1 to 120 matches the Rfam family "5.8S ribosomal RNA", at positions 35 to 154 of the family's 154-position model. The record is from RNAcentral.
GAUGAAGAACGCAGCGAAAUGCGAUAAGUAGUGUGAAUUGCAGAAUUCAGUGAAUCAUCGAAUCUUUGAACGCACAUUGCGCCCCUUGGUAUUCCAUGGGGCAUGCCUGUUCGAGCGUCAUUUGUACCUUCAAGCUCUGCUUGGUGUUGGGUGUUUGUCUCGCCUCUGCGUGUAGACUCGCCUCAAAACAAUUGGCAGCCGGCGUAUUGAUUUCGGAGCGCAGUACAUCUCGCGCUUUGCACUCAUAACGACGACGUCCAAAAGUACAUUUUUACACUCUUGACCUCGGAUCAGGUAGGGAUACCCGCUGAACUUAAACAUAUCAAUAAGCGGAGGA